Molecule: long non-coding RNA, 335 nt
Filed under: Mustela putorius furo (domestic ferret)
Lineage: Eukaryota; Metazoa; Chordata; Mammalia; Carnivora; Mustelidae
Description: lncRNA (ENSMPUG00000029132.1)
Source: RNAcentral
UAGUUAUUUGCUUUUUGCCUAAAAGUGAUUAUUCCUUUGUGAAGAACAAGGUCAUUUGAUCACCUUAUUUUAGGGUAGAUGCUGAUUCAACGGAAAGAAAGGCCUUCUCUGGGCAUGAGCACUACCUGUAAGAUAAAGAAAUCAGCCAGCCCCAGAGACAGUCUAUAAGAGGAAAGAGAAAGGAUGAACAAAGGAAGAAAACUGGAGAAUCAGAGUGAGGAUGCUGUCAUUGUCAUUACACCUAAAGAACAGUUGGUCAAUAACAAAAAUAUAUAAUUGAAUUGUCACUAAGAAAUUUUUAAAAAUAUCUCCACACUUUCAAAAAAUAUAUGAGA